CUGGUUGGUUGUCGAGUCAUUCCCUGCGAAAGCAAAUUUGAAUUAUACUGCACAAGCUCUAGGCAUAUCAACAGCUGCAAUUUCUGCUUUCUUCAUCACUGCUGAUAAAACCAUCCUGAAACAUGCAAGGGGAAACAAAUGGAAAGUAUGACAAGAGCUCUUGACAUGAAGCAGCACCAACUCAAAGAUCAAACUCUUGGAGCUUGAAUUUUGAUGUUUAAUGGUUUCAUCCCUUGAGAGUGUAUUUCCAUUUUCUCUUUGUUCUGAAAUAGCAAUAGCAGGAAGGCUUUGUAAUGUUGGCAUUUGACUAAUGCUUGGAAUGAAGAAGAAAUGUAUUAUUUUUCUCUUGACCAUUUCGUAAUCUAAAAUAAAAAUUAAAGCUCUCUGUUGAA
Long non-coding RNA from Dendrobium catenatum, 392 nucleotides. RefSeq lists it as uncharacterized. Lineage: Eukaryota; Viridiplantae; Streptophyta; Magnoliopsida; Asparagales; Orchidaceae. The transcript has 2 exons. The record is from RefSeq and is a predicted model, not a curated record.